GGGUUUUACUGUGUUACUCUAGCAAGCUUUAAGUGACGGGGAUAAUUUCCCUGCUGCACACGGGCGGGUGACAUAUGUGGUCACGCCGGGCUUCUCUGAGAAGCCCGUGGCUGGUGGCACAGAGCAGAGAUGGGGGGAAAUGCAGUUGACUCUUGCAUAACGAGGGCGGUCUGGAUAGACAUAGCUCAGGUGGCCGUCUCUCCGUCCAGGUGGAAGCAGAAAGUGUCCCAGAAAGACACGGAUUGAGCUCUGGAUUCCCAAGCAGCAAUGGUCAGAGGUGGGAUCUGCAGAGCCGGCUGGAUCAGGAGGGUAAUGACGUCACAAAGGGGGCAGUCCACAGGCUUCAUGCAAUGGAAUCACAGUAAGAAAAAGAAGAAACAGAUGAAACCAACUCUAUGAGCUUGGCACUGAGUUCAAAAGAACAAUGCCCAUCUUCACAUGGAAGUGGUUCUAAGGCAAAGAUCUCUCUGACUGGAAUAUUAAGCUUCUAGACAAGAUGGGGAAAGAAGGUUAGGACUAAAACCCUCUCCCCCUGCAUCUCCUGAAGUCAUCCUGGUUUCUGAUAUUUGGAGUGCGGACAAAGACUUUUUAGUUUUGGAGAACCGUUUGGAAUUUGUGCAGCUUGCAGGACUCUGGAACUGAUGCUAGGCACAGAAAUCACAGGAACUGGUCCAACCAUCACACCUGCCAAUACUGAAAUUCUUUUCCCUCUUCCAGGUCCAGCUUCUAUGUCUGUUAUGUUGAAAAUAAACACUGGGUGGAGGACAU
This 768-nucleotide long non-coding RNA is filed under the name Chinchilla lanigera (long-tailed chinchilla). RNAcentral's name for it is "lncRNA (ENSCLAG00000028918.1)". Lineage: Eukaryota; Metazoa; Chordata; Mammalia; Rodentia; Chinchillidae. The record is from RNAcentral.